Molecule: long non-coding RNA, 1017 nt
Organism: Gasterosteus aculeatus aculeatus (three-spined stickleback)
Lineage: Eukaryota; Metazoa; Chordata; Actinopteri; Perciformes; Gasterosteidae
Source: Ensembl
UGACCGGCAACUGACCGGCAGGGCGCUCCAGCAAGUCCAUGUUUAAAGGUUUACCAAUGUGUAUAGUGUUUUAUAGUUCCAUGGGAGGUGGGGGGGGGGUCACUUGAAUUGUUUUUCAGAAACCAACUGUGUGUAUUCAUGUAUAUGUAUAUAUGUGUCUGACCUGAUUUGUUAUGACAGUGUGAAAUUACCAGCAUAGUCUGGCACAAUUUCUUCUGCAGAAGGCAGCGACGUCUGUGCUUUAAAUGUUUCACGAGAGAGAGCGAGCGAGCGAUAGAGAUCUAUAUCUAGAGAGAGAGAGAGAGAGACCAUAUCUGGGACAUUAAAACAGCUUCAGGGAGCAGGUACUGCAUAUUCGUUUUCUAGAGCAUAUCAGCUGACAUGUUUUUUUUUUGUUUGAUACUUUUCUUUAACAUCACUAUAAAAAGAUACAAAUAGAACAGCAGCCCGAGGAACGGCGCCACACCAAGAGAAGAUCAGUUUUCAGUCUGUUUUUAAAUGAUGCUGAAUUCAAAUCCAUGCAUCCAAGAUGUAUGAAAGUGGGACAUUAAGAAUGUAGAGUUAACGUUUAUUUUAAGUUGCCUGGGUCACUCGGGGACACCCGCAUUGUUCUCCUCAGGUUCCUCUUACCUCGAAGUGAAAUAAAUUGCAUCAGAUGUAAUUCCAGUAACUAUGUAAAAAAAAAAAGUAUGUCAUAAACGGUUAUUAUACAAUAUGUUGUAUGUAUAGUACGCUGAAUAAACUAGUUGGGAAAAACUAAUGGAAAUACAUGUUGGAAAAAAGAAGUCAUGGUAUAUGUGGAGAUAAAAAGUUGCAUCUCGUAUUUGGGUUUGUGUGAGGUAGUAAUGGACUGCAGGAAGGCUUUCAUUGACCGCUCAGCGCCUAAACACACAGCCGGCCCGCGCUGUGGCCCGAGGGGAGGUCAGUCCCAGUGAUUCACACCGUUACGGUCUGUGGCCAAACAUCGAUCCGCUUUAAAGCCAAUUUAACCCUGCACGUUCACACAAAGCAGACAGG